Molecule: long non-coding RNA, 1839 nt
Organism: Ictalurus furcatus (blue catfish)
Lineage: Eukaryota; Metazoa; Chordata; Actinopteri; Siluriformes; Ictaluridae
Exons: 2
Source: RefSeq, a predicted model, not a curated record
UUUUCCUUUCCUCCCUCCUCAUGAAGUUGCGCAACAUUUUUCCAUUAAAAGCCUGAGAUCUCAGUGAGCCUGCUGAAAGGAGGAACAUGGCAGAGAAUCGGGUGAGGGACAUGUACGAGGGAGUAGACCCAGGUGAAAUGACUGAACAAGAGAAAAAAGCGCACAUAGCGAGAACUCUUCGUGAAAACCCAGAUGUUCUGUUUAGAAUAUAUUGCCAAGGCAGACUGCAUAUGGUCCUCUUGAGGCCAACUAACCCUGGGGAGUGGACGAGGGUGAUUCUGAGCAGGAUCACAACCAACCUGUCUUUUCAGAUGACUAAGAAACGUGGCGUAAACGACAUCUUCAAAAUCACCAUGUCUGGUACUCAAGAGGAGCUUGGACAUUUCUGUGAUGAUUUUGAUCAGCUCUAUGUCGAGGUCAUGACAAACAGCCAGGAUGGAGGAGCAGCAGCACAGAGGAACCCAGAGGAUGAUGUUGAGGAGCUCAGAGCGAGAAUCAAAGAGCUGGAGCUGGAGAACAAGAAGCUUCAGAAGCGGUAGAUGUCCAAAUCCAAGCCCCAUGUACCUACCGCUGGUCUCCUUUCAUCGCUGCAGUGGGAGUGGAUGAAGUUGUGUAUAAAUAUAUUAUUAGAACUAUAUUAUUAACUGUCAUUUUCAAAAUCCCUACACCGAAUACUGAAAAAUCUCCUACGCAUACCAGAUCAUCUGAUACGUAUACUUCAUCCUUUUAUUUCUAGAAGUGACGAAUAUUCAUUUAGCUAAGACUCAGCACUAGAUUCCCAGAUAGCAGACUAACACUGAAUCAACAUUGAAUCAACACUGAAUCAACACUGAAUCAAUACUGAAUCAACACUGAAUCAACAUUGAAUCAACAUUGAAUCAAUACUGGAUCAACGUUAAUGCAUCAACCAUAUUAUCAUUGAGUCAGUGUUGAAAUUUGAAAUGAGAUUUUUUUAUCAGAUUUGCACACUGAAACAACGAAAAACAGAUCAAGACGGACAAAAUAUAUAUCAAUAUUUGUUCAACUACAUGGAAGGGUCAUGAGGUCACAAAAUGAACAGGAUUCAUCCUAUGAGGAGCACAAAUAUGCUCACUAAAUUUCAUGGAAACGCAUCCAGUUGAUUUGCGUUGUGUUGAAUGAGGGGACAUUAAAUCUAAGCCCCACCAGUGGGGAAAUGAAGCUGACCAGAAAAUCAACACUGAUUCACUGUUUGUCUUCUCAACACUGAAUCAACACUGAAUCAACACUGAUUCACUGUUUGUCUUCUCAACACUGAAUCAACACUGAAUCAACACUGAUUCACUGUUUGUCUUCUCAACGCUGAAUCAACACUGAUUCACUGUUUGUCUUCUCAACACUGAAUCAACACUGAUUCACUGUUUGUCUUCUCAACACUGAAUCAACACUGAUUCACUGUUUGUCUUCUCAACACUGAAUCAACACUGACUCAACACUGAUUCACUGUUUGUCUUUUCAACACUGAAAAGCUAAUUAAUUAUCAACGUUGAUUCAAUAUUAUUUAGUAUUGAAUAUUCAAUCUCAACCAAAAUGAUGAUUCUGAUGGAAUUUCAACAUUGAAUCAAUGUCACCUUGCUAUCUGGGUUUAAACUGACUCAUGCAUUAUGUAUAUGUUUGUUUGUUUGUUUGUUUGUUUGCUAUAAAGUCUUAACAACCUUCAUGCUGUUAUAUCACCUAGAAAUAGAAUUAAAACCUCCAUUUUAUUUAUUUCAUUGUAUUUUAGAAUAUAUUUUCCAAGUACUUUUUCUUACAUUUAAUGAAUAUUUAAUAACAUUUAAUGUUUAUUUUAAUAAACAGUUAAUAAAGUGACUUUUAUAACGA